RNAcentral lists this ribosomal RNA (1225 nucleotides) under Lingulaulax polyedra. RNAcentral's name for it is "Lingulodinium polyedra partial Bacterial large subunit ribosomal RNA". It matches the Rfam family "Bacterial large subunit ribosomal RNA", at positions 1 to 1307 of the family's 2925-position model. Lineage: Eukaryota; Dinophyceae; Gonyaulacales; Lingulodiniaceae. The record is from RNAcentral.
GUGUGAGAAGGGCAUUCGGUGGAUGCCUUGGCGACAAGAGGCGAUGAAGGACGUGAUACGCUGCGAUAAGCCAUGGGGAGCUGCGAAUAAGCUUUGAUCCGUGGAUUUCCGAAUGGGGAAACCCACUCCGUAUGGAGUACCCGCAAGGGAGCAAACCCGGGGAACUGAAACAUCUAAGUACCCGGAGGAAAGGAAAUCAAUAUGAUACUCCCCUAGUAGCGGCGAGCGAACGGGGACCAGGCCUGGUCUGAAAUAAAGCAAAGCAUCUGGAAAGUUGCGCCAUAGUGGGUGAUAGCCCCGUAGCUGUAAAAUGAAGACCUUUUUGAGUAGGGCGGGACACGUGAAAUCCUGUCUGAACAUGGGGGGACCACCCUCCAAGCCUAAGUACUCCUUACCGACCGAUAGUGAACUAGUACCGUGAGGGAAAGAUGAAAAGUACCCCGAUUAGGGGAGUGAAACAGUACCUGAAACCGGAUGCUUACAAGCAGUUGGAGCCCCAUAGGGGGUGACAGCGUACCUCUUGCAUAAUGGGUCAGUGACUUAAUGUAUCGUGCGAGCUUAAGCCGUUAGGUGUAGGCGAAGCGAAAGCGAGUCUGAAUAGGGCGACUGAGUACGAUGUAUUAGACCCGAACCCCGGCGAUCUAGGCAUGAGCAGGUUGAAGGUGCGGUAACACGCACUGGAGGACCGAACCGUUGCAUGUUGAAAAAUGCUCGGAUGACUUGUGUUUAGGGGUGAAAGGCCAAUCAAGCCGGGAAAUAGCUGGUUCUCCGCGAAAUCUAUUGAGGUAGAGCGUCAGAUGUAUGCCGAUGGGGGUAGAGCACUGGAUGGGCUAGGGCUGCGCGAGCGGUACCAAACCUAACCAAACUCCGAAUACCAUCGAGUCUUGUCUGGCAGACAGACGGCGGGUGCUAAGGUCCGUCGUCAAAAGGGAAACAGCCCUAACCUACAGCUAAGGUCCCCAAGUCAUAUCUAAGUGGGAAAGCAUGUGGGAAUCCCAAAACAACCAGGAGGUUGGCUUAGAAGCAGCCAUCCUUUAAAGAAAGCGUAAUAGCUCACUGGUCUAAACAAGCCGGCCUGCGCCGAAGAUGUACCGGGGCUCAAGCCACCCACCGAAGCUGAGGAUGCAUGUCUUUGACAUGCGUGGUAGCGGAGCGUUCCGUAGGCCUGUGAAGGGGUCCUGUAAGGGGUCCUGGAGGUAUCGGAAGUGAGAAUGCUGACAUGAGU